Molecule: ribosomal RNA, 433 nt
Filed under: uncultured bacterium
Lineage: Bacteria
Description: partial 16S ribosomal RNA
Rfam family: Bacterial small subunit ribosomal RNA
Source: RNAcentral
AGCGAACGCUGGCGGCAGGCCUAACACAUGCAAGUCGAACGAACCUUUCGGGGUUAGUGGCGGACGGGUGAGUAACACGUGGGAACGUGCCUGUAGGCUCGGAAUAACUCAGGGACACGUGUGCUAAUACCGAGUGAGCCCUUCGGGGGAAAGAUUUAACGACUUUAGAGCGGCCCGCGUCUGAUUAGCUAGUUGGUUGAGGUAAUGGCUCACCCAGGCGACGAACAGUAGCUGGUCUGAGAGGAUGAUCAGCCCCAUUGGGACUGAGACACGGCCCAAACUCCGGCGGGAGGCAGCAGUGGGGAUCUUGCGCAAUCGGCGAAGUCCUGACGCAGCCAUGCCGCGUGAAUGAUGAAGGUCUUAGGAUUGUAAAAUUCUUUCACCGGGGACGAUAAUGACGGUACCCGGAGAAGAAGCCCCGGCUAACUUCGUG